UCUAACGUGGCAGACAAGUGCAUUGGAUUUAAGCUCCAUAAAUAAAGUAUUUAACUUUCAUUAGAA
RNAcentral lists this transfer RNA (66 nucleotides) under Koutabatermes spinifer. RNAcentral's name for it is "tRNA-Leu". The record is from RNAcentral. Lineage: Eukaryota; Metazoa; Arthropoda; Insecta; Blattodea; Termitidae.